This 680-nucleotide ribosomal RNA is filed under the name uncultured organism. RNAcentral's name for it is "bacterial SSU rRNA". It matches the Rfam family "Bacterial small subunit ribosomal RNA", at positions 122 to 776 of the family's 1533-position model. The record is from RNAcentral.
UAAUCUGCCCCUGAAUCUGGGAUAGCGGUGCGAAAGCGGUGCUAAUACCGGAUGACAUCGAAUUGACUUCGGUUGAUUGGAUCAAAGGUAGCCACUCCAUGGAAGCUACUGUUUGGGGAUGAGCCCGCGUACCAUUAGCUUGUUGGUAGGGUAACGGCCUACCAAAGCGACGAUGGUUAGCUGGUCUGAGAGGAUGAUCAGCCCACUGGAACUUGGAACACGGCCCAAAACUCCUACGGGAGGCAAGCAGUGAGGAAUUUUGCGCAAUUGAGGGAAACCUUGACGCAGCAACGCCGCGUGAGUGAUGAAGGCUUUCGGGUCGUAAAGCUCUGUCAAGUGGGAAGAAAUCCCGGGAAGUGAACAGUUUUUCGGGUUGACGGUACCACUGAAGGAAGCACCGGCUAACUCCGUGCCAGCAGCCGCGGUAAUACGGAGGGUGCGAGCGUUAUUCGGAAUUACUGGGCGUACAGGGCACGCAGGCGGUCAUGUAAGUCAGAUGUGACAGCCCGGGGCUUAACCCUGGAAGUGCAUUUGAAACUGUGUGACUUGAGUAUGGGAGAGGGAAGCGGAAUUCCUGGUGUAGCGGUGAAUGCGUAGAUAUCAGGAGGAACACCCGUAGCGAAGGCGGCUUCCUGGACCAAUACUGACGCUGAGGCGCGAAGGCGUGGGGAGCAAACAGG